This 460-nucleotide ribosomal RNA is filed under the name uncultured bacterium. Its description in RNAcentral is "partial 16S ribosomal RNA". It matches the Rfam family "Bacterial small subunit ribosomal RNA", at positions 338 to 795 of the family's 1533-position model. The record is from RNAcentral.
CCUACGGGUGGCAGCAGUGAGGAAUAUUGGUCAAUGGGCGGAAGCCUGAACCAGCCAAGUAGCGUGCAGGAUGACGGCCCUACGGGUUGUAAACUGCUUUUAUACGGGAAUAACGCGCCUUACGUGUAGGGCUUUGCAUGUACCGUAUGAAUAAGGACCGGCUAAUUCCGUGCCAGCAGCCGCGGUAAUACGGAAGGUCCGGGCGUUAUCCGGAUUUAUUGGGUUUAAAGGGAGCGUAGGCCGCAUAUCAAGCGUGCUGUGAAAUGUCCGGGCUCAACCCGGGCCUUGCAGCGGAGACUGGCGUGCUUGAGUCCGCGGAAGGCAGGCGGAAUUCGUCGUGUAGCGGUGAAAUGCUGAGAUAUGACGAAGAACCCCGAUUGUGAAGGCAGCUUGCUGCAGCGGAACUGACGCUGAUGGUCGAAAGCGCGGGUAGCGAACAGGAUUAGAUACCCUUGUAGUC